This 258-nucleotide transfer-messenger RNA is filed under the name Clostridia bacterium. RNAcentral describes it as "partial transfer-messenger RNA". It matches the Rfam family "transfer-messenger RNA", at positions 1 to 276 of the family's 374-position model. Rfam says of the family: Bacterial tmRNA, also known as 10Sa RNA or SsrA, is named for its dual tRNA and mRNA-like properties. Its role is to liberate the mRNA from a stalled ribosome. The record is from RNAcentral. Lineage: Bacteria; Bacillati; Bacillota; Clostridia.
GGGGGCGUACUGGAUUUCGACGGGGGAUGAAUUGGCAAAAGUAGCGAGCCGGGGUUCCAUCAGCCCGUAAAACGUUGGAAAUAUAAUUUAAACGCCAACGAAAAUUACGCUUUAGCAGCCUAAUUGCUGCUAACAUCCUCACCUCGCUUUCCCGCGGUAAGGAUUGAGGGUGUCAUAUUAGCGGGAUACUCUAAUACCAAUUCUCGGAGGGGUUAGGGGAAUUUUAUCGAGAUAGUUUCCUGAGCAGGCUGUUUGUGG